This 239-nucleotide ribosomal RNA is filed under the name uncultured bacterium. RNAcentral's name for it is "partial 16S ribosomal RNA". It matches the Rfam family "Bacterial small subunit ribosomal RNA", at positions 15 to 244 of the family's 1533-position model. The record is from RNAcentral.
GAUCCUGGCUCAGGAUGAACGCUAGCUACAGGCUUAACACAUGCAAGUCGAGGGGCAGCAUUUUAGUUUGCUUGCAAACUGAAGAUGGCGACCGGCGCGCGGGUGAGUAACACGUAUCCAACCUGCCGAUAACUCUGGAAUAGCCUUUCGAGAGAAAGAUUAAUACCGGAUGGCAUACGAAUAUCGCAUGAUAUUUUUAUUAAAGAAUUUCGGUUAUCGAUGGGGAUGCGUUCCAUUAG